RNAcentral lists this ribosomal RNA (774 nucleotides) under uncultured Neocallimastigales. RNAcentral's name for it is "partial large subunit ribosomal RNA". It matches the Rfam family "Eukaryotic large subunit ribosomal RNA", at positions 23 to 634 of the family's 3401-position model. Lineage: Eukaryota; Fungi; Neocallimastigomycota; Neocallimastigomycetes; Neocallimastigales. The record is from RNAcentral.
AGAGAGAGACAUGCGCGCAUAUCAAUAAGCGGAGGAAAAGAAACUAACAAGGAUUCCCUUAGUAACGGCGAGUGAAGCGGGAAGAGCUCAAAUUUGAAAUCUUCAAGGUUUUACCUUGACGAAUUGUAGUUUAAAGAAGUGUUUUCUGCUGAAGUUUUGGUAAAAGUUCUUUGGAAUAGGACAUCAUAGAGGGUGAGAAUCCCGUAUUUGACCAUUAUUUUCAGCUUUGUGAUACACUUUCAAAGAGUCGGAUUGUUUGGGAAUGCAGUCCAAAAUGGGUGGUAAAUUUCAUCUAAAGCUAAAUAUUGGCGAGAGACCGAUAGCGAACAAGUACCGUGAGGGAAAGAUGAAAAGAACUUUGAAAAGAGAGUUAAACAGUACGUGAAAUUGUCAAAAGGGAAGCGUUUGACACCAGUGUUGUUUUCUCGAAAAUCAAUUAAAAAUGGCUCGAUUUUGUAUUACUGAGACCUUAAAAGCUCACUGUACAUUUUUCGUGUCUUUUUUAAUGCACUUUUCGUUUAACAAGUCAACAUCAGUUUCUUUUGUUGUAAAAGGGUCAUUGGAAGGUGGCUUUCUUUUCGGAGAAAGUGUUUAUAGCCUUUGGCCUCCGCAAUCGAAGAGACUGAGGUCUGCAGCGUAGACUCUUCGGGGUUAGAUACAUUUGUGCUAAGUUAUAGCUUUUUAUAGACAACUUGUUGACUAUAAUUAGUCUUGUAGCUUACUCGCUUAUGCUAUUUUACCUACGCUUAGGAUGUUGAAGAUGUAGCACAUCAU